CCUACGGGAGGCUGCAGUGGGGGAUAUUGCACAAUGGGGGGAACCCUGAUGCAGCGACGCCGCGUGGGUGAAGAAGCGCCUCGGCGCGUAAAGCCCUGUCAGCAGGGAAGAAAAUGACGGUACCUGAAGAAGAAGCCCCGGCUAACUACGUGCCAGCAGCCGCGGUAAUACGUAGGGGGCAAGCGUUAUCCGGAUUUACUGGGUGAAAAGGGGGCGCAGAGGGCGAUGCAAGCCAGGAGUGAAAGCCCGGGGCCCAACCCCGGGAGUGCGCGUGGAACGGCGUGGCUGGAGGACAGGAGGGGCAGGCGGAAUUCCUGGUAGAGCGGUGAAAUGCGUAGAUA
RNAcentral lists this ribosomal RNA (341 nucleotides) under uncultured bacterium. RNAcentral describes it as "partial 16S ribosomal RNA". It matches the Rfam family "Bacterial small subunit ribosomal RNA", at positions 338 to 696 of the family's 1533-position model. The record is from RNAcentral.